This 69-nucleotide transfer RNA is filed under the name Exitianus indicus. RNAcentral describes it as "tRNA-Gln". It matches the Rfam family "tRNA". From Rfam's summary of the family: Transfer RNA (tRNA) molecules are approximately 80 nucleotides in length. Their secondary structure includes four short double-helical elements and three loops (D, anti-codon, and T loops). Further hydrogen bonds mediate the characteristic L-shaped molecular structure. tRNAs have two regions of fundamental functional importance: the anti-codon, which is responsible for specific mRNA codon recognition, and the 3' end, to which the tRNAs corresponding amino acid is attached (by aminoacyl-tRNA synthetases). tRNAs cope with the degeneracy of the genetic code in two manners: having more than one tRNA (with a specific anti-codon) for a particular amino acid; and 'wobble' base-pairing, i.e. permitting non-standard base-pairing at the 3rd anti-codon position. Lineage: Eukaryota; Metazoa; Arthropoda; Insecta; Hemiptera; Cicadellidae. The record is from RNAcentral.
UGUUUUAUGGUGUAAGACGCACAUUAGUUUUUGAUUCUUAAGGUUUAAGUUUAAUUCUUAAUAAAACAA